This is a long non-coding RNA of Vespa mandarinia (Asian giant hornet), 944 nucleotides long. NCBI's taxonomy places the organism in Eukaryota, Metazoa, Arthropoda, Insecta, Hymenoptera, Vespidae. The record is from RefSeq and is a predicted model, not a curated record.
UUUCUCAAGCACCGCUAUAGUGGCAUAGCGAUUUUUGAUAAGCUUAUUAAAAGAAUCUUUAAAGUCCUUCAUUUCUAACAAUUAAAUCGUUAUUAUGAUUAAUUAUUAUUAUAAAGCUUCGCCACCUUUCACUCGUAGCAUAUGUGAUUUCAGCGACAGGUACGGACAAAAUAUGAACUACAAGCGCAGUAGGGAAACAUUGUCCCCACUAUGCGCCUAUUGCAUCGGUAUAUAAGCUUGUAAGGUUAUAUCCCUAUCACGCUUAAUUUAACAAUUGGGUUAGUUAGUGACAAAAAUUUUUGUAUGCAGUAUAAAUAAUAAUAUAUCUGAUAAAAAGGAAAAAUAAAUAUUUGUCAAAUUAUACUUUUUUGAAGAUAGAUUAAUUGUACAAAUUUUAUAGUCUUUGUUUCUAGUUAAAUUUAUAUAGAUAGUUAAAAUGUAUUUAAGUAGCCAUUGACUUGAUAUCAUUUGUGAUGAAAUGUAAAGCAUAUAAAAUAUAAUAUACAUUAUACCAAAAGUAAUAUCGAAUAUCCAUGUCUCAUCAAAUGGAGAGUAAUGCAUAUGAAAAUCCACGGGCUAACGGAGUUUUGAACAAUAAAAAGAACUCCACAGUAAGACUAUUAAUCACGUCCGCGAAUAUCCACGCCUGUGUACGCUGACGCGCACGCAAGUGUUCCUCUUAUUCUAUCCAUACGGAAAAAAAAGAGACGUUCUUUCUCUGUAUAUGGCAAGGAAAGAUCCCAUAAUCUCCCGUAUAAAAAUUUAAUCCCACGAUGAUAAAUCGAAUCUCUCGACGAUAUGUCAGACCCUCGCCGAUGUAUCGAAUCUUCUCGUCGACUAAUCGCCACACCGCAGAUGAUCUAUCCCUCGAUGAUCAAGCCUAGAAAAGAAGAAGAGAAAGUCGAUAUCUCGAUGACCUAGCCUGGAAAAAAAAAGAAUAGGAA